UGGCAUAAAUAUCCUAACUAGAAUGAUUGUAUAUUCCAUUAACAAUAACCCCUAAGGGAACUCAGAAAGUGUAAUCACUGGAAAGCUCUAUUAGUCAGAGGCCAGGCACACCUGAUAUGGUGCUGCGUUCAAAAUGUCUUCCUCUUAAAUAUUAUUGACAGUAAAACUGUACCCCUAUAUCUAUUCUAUUAAAUGACCUAAAGAUUUACUGUGGAAACAAUACAACACCAAAUGAAAUUAUCAAAGUGUUUUGUAGUGAAUUAUUGGUUUGGCGGAAAAUUAAUGACAUGAUUACUUUGGUCUUUGGCACAUGAACUAAAGUGUCCUACCAUGAGUUCCCUCCUAGUACCUCUUCAAAUAACACAGUGAAGCCCUUUAAAGCACCAAAAAUAAAUAAUUGAUAGUGAUGUUAACCCAAAUUAUGUUUAGCCUUCAAACUGCAUAUGAAAACUUCUGUAUAAGUCAUGGGAGAAAGUUUAAUGCUAUGAUGGGAUUUUCACGUACUUUAACAUUUUGUGUACGUAUUCUAUAGUAUGCAAAUACUUUUAUCUUCAGUGGUGUAUGUUAUUGUGGAGUGAGUAUCUUUACUUGCCAGGAUUUAAAAAUCAAUUUAAAUGCUAUGUCAGUCAGAGUGUUAUCUUUUCAGAACAAUGCAUUAACAAGGUCUAGCUUUGAAUCUCACUGCCCAGCACAUUACCCAGUAAAUAGGAAAAUAAUUUGGGAAUAUUUAAACUUGCAGGUCUCUGAUUUUGCUCAUCAAAAUAUUUUUGCUCAAAAUAUGUAAACUCCCAGCUGUAGUAGUUGUGUUUAGUUCUUAGUUAUAGUAGGCACAGAUAUAUUUUGGAAUUUUACAAAGUAUAUAUGGAUUUUUUGUAUUUUUAGUCCAUACUAAUUUGCUCAUGGUAUAUUAGUGCCUCAGUUUCCCAACUGCAUAUUAAAGCAUGAACAAGAAUGAAAUCCUAUUUUGAUAUUUGUCUGUGCCAUGAAUGCCCUUACCACUACAUGGUUCACAAGGGUCUCAGGGAUGUCGUUGGUGACUUUACAGGCUUCUGCAGACAGCUCACAGAUGAUGGUCAACUCAGACUGAUUGGUCCAGAGAAAGGAAAGGUGUGUAGAACGUCUGGCCAGAGCAGCCAUUCUGAAUGCUGUGCGGGACCUCUGGGCAAAGCAAGAAGGAAAGGUAAUGAUUUUAUAAUGUGGCUACAACUCAAGAUACAUGACUGUAGUCAGAAACUUGUUGGAGCAGGGUCAAAGAAAAGAGGGAAGGGACAACAAUGGUAAGGAAGCAGUUAGGGAUAGCAGGACUCAUAGAGGGUGUUAGGGAUGGGGUGGGAAUGUUAGGGAUCAGGUGGGAAAUGAGCCAGAUGUCUGGUGUCACCAGUCACCAUUAGUGUAUUCAUAUCAGACAAAAAUGACUGCCUUAUGUAUAUUUUAUAACUCUUUUCUUUAUAACCAAGCCUUUAUGGAAGCUACGUGUGGACAUGGUAAGUAGAGUCUUUAAUAUUAUAGUUAUUUCUAGAGGUAAUAUUUUUAUAGAUUACCUGGUUGUUUUGAUAAUCAGUAAGAAUAUUUAAGACUAGUCUGUUGAUCAUUGAUUAUAAAAUAAAAACAGAAAAAAUUAUUUUUUUUCCACAAGGGGCAUGAACCCAAGACCUUGCAUGCUAGGCAAGCACUCUACCACUAACCUAUGUUCUCAGACCAUAAUGUUCUCUUUCUGAUAAUUUGAAAUAUCAGAUACCUGUGCUGUGCAGGCAAGCAGGUAAGGAUGGAUGGGAGGCAAUAAGUUCAAGUCCUGUUUUCUUCUAAAGGGUGCUUACAACAUCAUAUAAAUUCUGAGCUCUUAUUGCUUGAGAAAACUAUCGGAACCAUUAGGAGCCUCAGAAUCAGUUUAAAUAUCAAAUGACAAUAGAAUGUCAUAAAUUUUGAAAAGCCACAUACUUUUACUAGGACAUCUGUUUUAGUAAAUCUAAAAGCACGAUCUGAUCAAGUCAUUGCAGUUUCCACCAUGUAGUUCCUUCAGGUCAGGAGCUUGAUACUGAAUUCCAAAGGUAUACAGUUGGCUGUUUUCUUUCCCGGUGACCAAUAUUUGUAGCAGGAAUGAGCACCUGAUUGUUAAGGAGGAUUUAAAAAAAAAAUUAUUAGUGCUAGUUUAUGUUGCUAGUCUAUACUUGGGACCUUCAGAAUGACAGGACCAGACAGACACAUAGAUCCCAAAGAUCCCUUCCUGGAAAGGAUAAGCCCGUGAGAUUAGGGUAAGCAUCAAUAAAUAAUCUGCCUGUGGAUUGAUAUGGUCCUUUCUCCUAUGCCACCAGGAUCCAGAGAUGCUGUUGUCCUGUGUUGAUUUCUUGAUCUGAUGUCUUGACAAACCAGGGUGCUUACGUGCCACAAUAGAGUGAUGAUUAAGCAACUCCUACACAAGGCCCUGCAAUUACUCCAGAUUGACAGCUGUAGACUGGGGAGUGUCAAAGAAAACCUCUCAGUAUCACUGAUGCCCAAAAAGUUUGGAAGUGAAGAUGAUGUGGAAGCUGUGGACCAAGCCUCCACUCUGCUCCCACUGGCCUUUAGAACUCAUGGUCCAUCUACCUCCUUGCUGGUGGAGCUGGACUCUGAACUGGUUGGUACAGCACUCGAUAAUAUUUGACUGUCAAUCUCUGCCAGCCUUCAAAACAGGUAGGUCAGUAACAUUAACUCCUCUCUCACUGCAGUAAUAGCCCUUGAUCCUGGAGAGCUCCUUGAAAACUCUCAGGGCCAGUACUCAGAACCCUGAGCACUGUUAGGAGCACCUAGAGUAGAU
Molecule: long non-coding RNA, 2794 nt
Organism: Rattus rattus (black rat)
Lineage: Eukaryota; Metazoa; Chordata; Mammalia; Rodentia; Muridae
Exons: 5
Source: RefSeq, a predicted model, not a curated record